Long non-coding RNA from Toxorhynchites rutilus septentrionalis, 918 nucleotides. RefSeq lists it as uncharacterized. The record is from RefSeq and is a predicted model, not a curated record. The transcript is spliced from 3 exons. NCBI's taxonomy places the organism in Eukaryota, Metazoa, Arthropoda, Insecta, Diptera, Culicidae.
GGUCGAAAAUACUGAAUAAUUAAACAAACCAAAUGGCAUCACUGGUGGUUCUUUUUUCCACUCCGCUAAACUGUCAUCUCAAACAAAAACAAAUGGAUCAUACAACUGCUAUGAAUACAUUCGACUCGUUUGCUUCCAUCAAUCGGUAAGUGAGAAAGAUGAUUUCUCCAAUCACCACAGUGCGGAUUUCCACUUCUAUCACAGCAGCCAACAACAUCCGUUUUCCUGCAGCAGUAACGUCCAACCCCUGUUGGCAAUGCCGGGGGACAGCAUCAACAGCAGCAGCAGCAGAAUUUGACCAUGGUAUGGUAUUGCGAAGAACUUUCCCCAUUAGAGGUUCCGUGCUUCGCGCACAUUCAAAAAUCCUCUUCAGACACGAAAACUCAACGACAAGGAGGUAUUUAUCAACUUGCUCAGCUGAAUUACCACCCCGGAGGAACCCGAAUGCACUGAUUCCGUAGUAUAGUAGAAUGGAAAUAGGCGAGGUAAGCGAACGUAAUCGCAUGAAAUUUUAAUGUUCGCAUUUUUAUCCGGAUCAUACACUGCUAUGAAUACAUCCGACUCAAUCAAUCGGCGAGUGAGAAAGAUGAUUUCCCUCAUCACCACAUUGCUUAUUUCCUCUUCUGUCACACCAGCCAACAGCAUCAGCUUUCCCGCAGCAGUAUCCUUUAAGUCCAGGGUGCUAUUCCGGGGAACAGCAUCAACAGUAACAGCAGCAGGACCUGGCCAUCGAUAGUAUUUCGAGCAAUUUUCCCCAUCGGAGAUCCCGUGCUUCACGCACAUUGAAGAAUCCUCCUCAGCCACAUAUCUGUGUCAUCAAGGGCAAGGAGGUAUUCAUCAAUGUACUCAGUCGGAUUUGAAUCGUCAAUCCAGACAACUCGGAUGCACCGAUUCCAUUAUAUACCUUAUUUUUAUUAU